AACGAACGCUGGCGGCAGGCCUAACACAUGCAAGUCGAGCGCCCUUUCGGGGGAGCGGCGGACGGGUGAGUAACGCGUGGGAAUAUGCCCUUCUCUACGGAAUAGCCUCGGGAAACUGAGAGUAAUACCGUAUACGCCCUGUGGGGGAAAGAUUUAUCGGGGAAGGAUUAGCCCGCGUUGGAUUAGGUAGUUGGUGGGGUAAUGGCCUACCAAGCCGACGAUCCAUAGCUGGUUUGAGAGGAUGAUCAGCCACACUGGGACUGAGACACGGCCCAGACUCCUACGGGAGGCAGCAGUGGGGAAUCUUAGACAAGGGGGGCAACCCUGAUCUAGCCAUGCCGCGUGAGUGAUGAAGGCCUUAGGGUUGUAAAGCUCUUUCAGCUGGGAAGAGAAUGACGGUACCAGCAGAAGAAGCCCCGGCUAACUCCGUG
RNAcentral lists this ribosomal RNA (431 nucleotides) under uncultured bacterium. Its description in RNAcentral is "partial 16S ribosomal RNA". It matches the Rfam family "Bacterial small subunit ribosomal RNA", at positions 29 to 507 of the family's 1533-position model. The record is from RNAcentral.